RNAcentral lists this ribosomal RNA (619 nucleotides) under Sphingomonas sp. 2.15. RNAcentral's name for it is "bacterial SSU rRNA". It matches the Rfam family "Bacterial small subunit ribosomal RNA", at positions 41 to 707 of the family's 1533-position model. The record is from RNAcentral. Lineage: Bacteria; Pseudomonadati; Pseudomonadota; Alphaproteobacteria; Sphingomonadales; Sphingomonadaceae.
GGCAUGCCUAACACAUGCAAGUCGAACGAACUCUUCGGAGUUAGUGGCGCACGGGUGCGUAACGCGUGGGAAUCUGCCCUUGGGUACGGAAUAACUCAGAGAAAUUUGUGCUAAUACCGUAUAAUGUCUUCGGACCAAAGAUUUAUCGCCCAAGGAUGAGCCCGCGUAAGAUUAGCUAGUUGGUGGGGUAAAAGCCUACCAAGGCGACGAUCUUUAGCUGGUCUGAGAGGAUGAUCAGCCACACUGGGACUGAGACACGGCCCAGACUCCUACGGGAGGCAGCAGUGGGGAAUAUUGGACAAUGGGCGAAAGCCUGAUCCAGCAAUGCCGCGUGAGUGAUGAAGGCCUUAGGGUUGUAAAGCUCUUUUACCCGGGAUGAUAAUGACAGUACCGGGAGAAUAAGCUCCGGCUAACUCCGUGCCAGCAGCCGCGGUAAUACGGAGGGAGCUAGCGUUGUUCGGAAUUACUGGGCGUAAAGCGCGCGUAGGCGGUCUUUUAAGUCAGAGUGAAAGCCCGGGGCUCAACCCCGGAAUAGCCUUUGAAACUGGAAGACUUGAAUCUUGGAGAGGUCAGUGAAAUUCCGAGUGUAGAGGUGAAAUUCGUAGAUAUUCGGAAGAAC